CUCUUCUCUCCCCUACUUUUUCCCUCUCUCAUACUUUACUCUCUCCACUUUAACUAUUUAAAUAUCAAUUCCUUAAAUCAUGUGCCAAAAGAAGUGAGUCUAAUACUCCGGGACGGAGGGAAUACUAAAUUUGCCUAUAAGCAAUAUCCAUCGGAUGCUAAGUUGGUAUUUUGGGCAGAGGCUAAGUUUUGCCUAUAUACAAUAUGUGGAACUAUUUUGAGCAGAGGCUAUAUGCAAUAUGUGAAAAAAGUGAGUUGUUGAUGAUACUCACCUUUGUGUGAUUGUGAAAAGGACUUGCUGAAUUCGUCUCUCUCAUGAUAUACAAAAGGUCCUGAUGGAUUGCUUCCUCCUCUUGCUUCGUUGAGAAAAUAUUGUGGGAGUUAUUGUUUAUGUGAGGUGGGGGUAUGCAAAUGAUUGGUGGUGUAUACAUAUAUGUGCGAGAAGAUGGCAACUUGGCUGACAAAUCUCCCCUCCAAAUAUUCUCUCUGUCAGAAAAUAUCAUCUUUGCCAGAAGAAAAAAAAAACCCGGUUCAAGCUCGUGGCUUUGGUGUAGGAAAACAAAUAACAUCCACGGUCAUCCCUGAUGAUGUUCCGACUUUCUUGGAGUGCGAGCACGACCGUAGAACGGGCUGCCUGGGCUUGCACGUCUCUCUCUCUAAUUGUAAUAGAUUAGGAUUUGAUAAGUUUGUACCAUAAGACUUCAUCGAACAUCCGAUGGAUGGGCCGGACAUUGAAACUUUUUAUUUGGUUCUCUCCUUUUAGUUGCACUUGAAAUGUUCGUUUGA
Molecule: long non-coding RNA, 785 nt
Organism: Salvia hispanica
Lineage: Eukaryota; Viridiplantae; Streptophyta; Magnoliopsida; Lamiales; Lamiaceae
Source: RefSeq, a predicted model, not a curated record